GAUGAACGCUGGCGGCGUGCCUAAUACAUGCAAGUCGAGCGAACAGAUGAGGAGCUUGCUCCUCUGACGUUAGCGGCGGACGGGUGAGUAACACGUGAAUAACCUACCUAUAAGACUGGGAUAACUUCGGGAAACCGGAGCUAAUACCGGAUAAUAUAUUGAACCGCAUGGUUCAAUAGUGAAAGACGGUUUUGCUGUCACUUAUAGAUGGAUCCGCGCCGCAUUAGCUAGUUGGUAAGGUAACGGCUUACCAAGGCGACGAUGCGUAGCCGACCUGAGAGGGUGAUCGGCCACACUGGAACUGAGACACGGUCCAGACUCCUACGGGAGGCAGCAGUAGGGAAUCUUCCGCAAAGGGCGAAAGCCUGACGGAGCAACGCCGCGUGAGUGAUGAAGGUCUUCGGAUCGUAAAACUCUGUUAUUAGGAAAGAACAAAUGUGUAAGUAACUAUGCACGUCUUGACGGUACCUAAUCAGAAAGCCACGGCUAACUACGUG
RNAcentral lists this ribosomal RNA (497 nucleotides) under uncultured bacterium. RNAcentral describes it as "partial 16S ribosomal RNA". It matches the Rfam family "Bacterial small subunit ribosomal RNA", at positions 28 to 507 of the family's 1533-position model. The record is from RNAcentral.